UUAUGCCCUAAGUCUCAAAAACCAUGACAAUAACAAUAACAGUAAAUAACAACACUACAUUAUACCCUAAGUCUCAACAACCAUGACAAUAACAAUAACAACAACAAUAACAAUGACGACAACAACAACAACAACAACAACGAUAAUAACAACAAUAACAACAAAAAUAACAAAAACAACUACAAAAACAUCAACAAAAAUAACAAUGAAAGAGUUUUACAUACCAGAAACGUGAUGAGAGAGUCAAAAAAAGUCUUGGGUUGAGGUUCUAGCUUUCUUC
RNAcentral lists this long non-coding RNA (280 nucleotides) under Lathyrus oleraceus (garden pea). RNAcentral describes it as "Pisum sativum (pea) long non-coding RNA (PSAT_LNC011060)". Lineage: Eukaryota; Viridiplantae; Streptophyta; Magnoliopsida; Fabales; Fabaceae. The record is from RNAcentral.